AGAAGUUUAUGGCCCCAUGUGCAAGGAUAACACACAAAUUUGUGAAGUGUUUCCAUAUUUU
RNAcentral lists this small nuclear RNA (61 nucleotides) under Cervus elaphus hippelaphus. The record is from RNAcentral. Lineage: Eukaryota; Metazoa; Chordata; Mammalia; Artiodactyla; Cervidae.